RNAcentral lists this ribosomal RNA (1661 nucleotides) under human oral metagenome. Its description in RNAcentral is "bacterial LSU rRNA". It matches the Rfam family "Bacterial large subunit ribosomal RNA", at positions 1285 to 2925 of the family's 2925-position model. The record is from RNAcentral.
GAAGUGAGAAUGCCGGUAUGAGUAGCGAAAAGAAAGGUGAGAAUCCUUUCCACCGAAAGCCUAAGGGUUCCUGGGCAACGAUCGUCGACCCAGGGUAAGUCGGGACCUAAUCCGAGGCGAAGACGCAUAGGAGAUGGACAACAGGUUGAAAUUCCUGUACCGACGUCGUCUGUUUGAGCGAUGGAGUGACACAAGAAGGAAAGUUCGCAUGCGAUUGGAAGAGCAUGUCUAAGCAGGUAGGUUGAAUACCAGGCAAAUCCGGUAUUCUAAAAGCCGAGAAGUGAUAGGGAGCCUGUAGAAAUACAGGUGAAGGAACCGGGACUCGAUUGUCAAGAAAAGCUUCUAGUGAGGACGACGCCGCCCGUACCAAAACCGACACAGGUAGGCAAGAAGAGAAUUCUAAGGUGCGCGGGAAAACCCUCGUUAAGGAACUCGGCAAAAUGUAUCCGUAACUUCGGGAAAAGGAUAACCCAGAGUACGUGAAGGAAAGAAACAUCCGGAGCGGGAAUGGGUGGCACAAGAGAGGCCCAAGCGACUGUUUACCACAAACACAGGCGUCUGCUAAAGAGAAAUCUGAUGUAUAGAUGCUGACACCUGCCCGGUGCUGGAAGGUUAAGAGGACGUGUUAGCCGUAAGGCGAAGCAGAGAAUUGAAGCCCCAGUAAACGGCGGCCGUAACUAUAACGGUCCUAAGGUAGCGAAAUUCCUUGUCGGGUAAGUUCCGACCCGCACGAAAGGUGUAACGACUUGCGCACUGUCUCAACGAGGGACCCGGUGAAAUUGAAGUACCUGUGAAGAUGCAGGUUACCCGCGACUGGACAGAAAGACCCCAUGGAGCUUUACUGUAACCUGAGAUUGAAUUUUGGUAGAAGAUGUACAGGAUAGUUGGGAGACGUAGAAGCGCGCACGCCAGUGUACGCAGAGUCGAUGGUGGGAUACCAACCUUGUUUUAUUGAAAUUCUAACGAGAGCCGUAACGAGGCUGCGGACAGUCUCAGGCGGGCAGUUUGACUGGGGCGGUCGCCUCCGAAAGAGCAACGGAGGCGCCCAAAGGUUCCCUCAGCGCGGACGGAAACCGCGCGAAGAGUGUAAAGGCAGAAGGGAGCUUGACUGCGAGACGGACAGGUCGAGCAGGGACGAAAGUCGGGCUUAGUGAUCCGGUGGUGCCGAGUGGAAGGGCCAUCGCUCAACGGAUAAAAGCUACCCUGGGGAUAACAGGCUAAUCUCUCCCAAGAGUCCAUAUCGACGGGGAGGUUUGGCACCUCGAUGUCGGCUCAUCACAUCCUGGGGCUGUAGUAGGUCCCAAGGGUUGGGCUGUUCGCCCAUUAAAGUGGUACGCGAGCUGGGUUCAGAACGUCGUGAGACAGUUCGGUCCCUAUCCAUCGCGGGCGCAAGAAACUUGAAGGGGGCUGCUCCUAGUACGAGAGGACCGGAGUGGACGAACCGCUGGUGUACCAAUUAUCCUGCCAAGGGUACAGUUGGGUAGCUACGUUCGGGACGGAUAAACGCUGAAAGCAUCUAAGCGUGAAACCAGCCUAAAGAUGAGGUUUCUCAUUGCGUAAGCAAGUAAGGCCCCAUGAAGACGACAUGGUUGAUAGGCCGGGAGUGGAAGUGCAGCAAUGCAUGGAGCGGACCGGUACUAAUAGGCCGAGGACUUAUCUUA